GGGGUCGCUUAGUUUCGACGGGAAUAAUAAUUUUUAAAGGGCAAGUCGUAAGAUAUACGAUACAUUCAAAUUUAAAAAUAACUGGAAACAGAAAUCAAUUAGCUUUCGCUUAAUAGAUUAGAAGGCUGCUUCUUUAUAUUUUUACUCACGAAAUAUAAAAGAGGCUCGAUUAGUGAGUUAUAUUAAUAGUUUUUUUCUAGGAUUAUUGAUGAAUUAAUAUAGAAAUUACUAAAUAAAAUUUUGAUAGUUUAUUAUUAUUUAGGACAUUAACAAAUUAUCUAAACUUGUAGAACUUUAAACUUUAUAUUUUCGGACAGGGGUGCGAUUCCCCUCGACUCCACCA
This 343-nucleotide transfer-messenger RNA is filed under the name chicken gut metagenome. It matches the Rfam family "transfer-messenger RNA". From Rfam's summary of the family: Bacterial tmRNA, also known as 10Sa RNA or SsrA, is named for its dual tRNA and mRNA-like properties. Its role is to liberate the mRNA from a stalled ribosome. The record is from RNAcentral.